This 313-nucleotide small RNA is filed under the name Pongo abelii (Sumatran orangutan). RNAcentral describes it as "Metazoan signal recognition particle RNA (ENSPPYG00000036643.1)". Lineage: Eukaryota; Metazoa; Chordata; Mammalia; Primates; Hominidae. The record is from RNAcentral.
GCCAGGCGUGGUGGCGGGCGCCUGUAGUCCCAGCUACUCGGGAGGCUGAGGCAGGAGAAUGGUGUGAACCCAGGAGGUGGAGGUUGCAGUGAGCAGAGAUCAGGCCACUGCACUCCACCCUGGGCAACAGAGCGAGCCUCCAUCUCAAAAAAAAAAAAAAAAAAAAAAAUUAAAGAAAAGAACAAAUCUUUGUUGUUGUUGUUGUUGUUUUUGUGAGGGAGUCUUGCUCUGUCACCCAGGCUGGAGUGCAGUGGCGCAAUCUCGGCUCACUGCAACCUCUGCCUCCUGGGUUCAAGUGAUUCUCCUGCCUCCC